Molecule: long non-coding RNA, 704 nt
Organism: Trichechus manatus latirostris (Florida manatee)
Lineage: Eukaryota; Metazoa; Chordata; Mammalia; Sirenia; Trichechidae
Exons: 2
Source: RefSeq, a predicted model, not a curated record
ACCAAGUGUGAUGUCCUUCUCCAGAGACUGGUCCCUCCUGAUAACGUGUCCAAAAACCAACAAGAAAAUGACAUGAUGCACUGAGGACACCAUCAUCACUUCUGGGUAUUCCUGCUGCAAAUGAAUGACCUGAACCUAAUAAUGAGGAAACAUCAGGCAAACAAACCCAAACAAAGAAGUCACCUGAAUGCUUCAAAAACAUCAAUUUCAUGAAAAACAAAAGCCAAGGAACUGUUUCAGAUUAAAGGAGACUAAAUAUAUGACAACUAGAUACAAUACCAUGAUUGCUGGGUAAAUACUGGAUCAGGAAAAAAAAACCUGCCAUAUGGAAAUGACUAGGACAAUUGAUAAAAUUUGAAUGAGGACUGUGUAUUAGAUAAUAGUAUCAUAUCUAUGUUAACCUGUUGCCAUCCAGUCGAUUCUAACUCACCGGGACUCUAUAGGACAGAGUUGAACUGCCCCACAGGGUUUCCAUGGAGCGGCUGGUGGAUUCAAACUGCUGACCUUUUGGUUAGCAACCAAGAUCUUAACCACUGUGCAUGUUAAAUUCCCUGCAUUUGGUAUUUGUAUUAUGGUUAUGUUAGAGAAUAUUCUUGACCUUAGGAGAUGCUGCUGAUGUAUGGAAGUGUAAAGGAUUAUGAUGUCUACCACUACUCUUAAAUAGUCAAUACAGUCAAAUGGUCAAAAUAAUAAUGUUAAUAAUA